CAGUCGCCGCGGUAAUACGAAGGGGGCUAGCGUUGCUCGGAAUGACUGGGCGUAAAGGGCGCGUAGGCGGAUUGUUUAGUUAGGCGUGAAAUUCCUGGGCUUAACCUGGGGACUGCGCUUAAUACAGGCAGUCUAGAGUGAGGAAGAGGGUUGUGGAAUUCCCAGUGUAGAGGUGAAAUUCGUAGAUAUUGGGAAGAACACCGGUGGCGAAGGCGGCGACCUGGUCCUUUACUGACGCUGAGGCGCGAAAGCGUGGGGAGCAAACAGGAUUAGAUACCCGUGUAGUCCCUGUCUCUUAUAC
This 301-nucleotide ribosomal RNA is filed under the name uncultured bacterium. RNAcentral's name for it is "partial 16S ribosomal RNA". It matches the Rfam family "Bacterial small subunit ribosomal RNA", at positions 509 to 807 of the family's 1533-position model. The record is from RNAcentral.